AAGAAGCACUGCUAAAAUGGAUCCAGCUGUGUCAUACAGUCAGAAUGAUUGCAAGACUCUUUACUCUCCAGCUACUGUUAUUGAAGUUGGCCAGGACCCAACACUUGUGAAAGAUUACGUUGUGUGGUCCCUUUUCAACCUUGUUAACAUGAACUGCUGCUGCCUGGGAUUGAUUGCAUUGUUUUAUUCUGUUAAAUCCAGGGACCAGAAGCAUUCAAAGAACCUGACUAGAGCCAGAGACUAUGGUGAAACUGCUAAACGCUUCAACAUCGCCAGCACUGUCAUUUCUGUAAUUGCUGUUGUCAUCAUUUUAGCCAUUUAUGUAACAACCAUUAUUGCUGUGCUGCAAAACAUCCAAAGUGGACCGUGAAGCUCUUUGUCAUUAUGGGCUUGUGUGGCAAUGCGCCCCACCCCUGUGUGUAUUUGUGUGUUAUGUGUUGUAUGUUGCGUGUGUUAAUGUUGGUGUAUAGAUUGGUACACGGGAUAUAAACGGGUCUGUGUUUCACGUGUAUUUAAAAAGUGUAGAUUUGUAUUUAGGCACGAGGAGAGCACAAAUCACUUCACGUGCUGGUUAAAUGUAAUAUGUGAGCACGGGGUUGCACAGAAUUAAUUCACGUGCUGGGAUUCAAGUGAAUAAUUAAUUAGUAAUUGAAUCCCAGCACAAUAGUAUAUAUAGACGCACAUUUCUUGCAGUCGGGGUUGGGUGUUCGAGAGUGGAGAACGGGUGUGGAGAAGGAGAAACUAAAUAAUAAGAAAGCAAGCGUAAAUAUGAGUGUUGUACUCACCGUGUUUGUUUGUCUCUCCGUGCACCGUUUGUUUAAGUGUAGUACGUUUUGUUUGUCUAUUUAUUUUGGCGCAAGUGCCGUGUCCCGUGUUUUGUGUUCAAACCUUUUAUUUUCUGUUCUGUUAUUAAAUGCUGAGCGCGAUCACGCGCUCAGCCUCACCAAAACCCCAAAUCUCUGUCUGUUUAUUUCCUGCAUCUGGUCUGACGCCACCCACUCCGGCCGUCUUUGUGACAGCUUGUCAUUCCUUUUAAAAAAAAUGUCACCAUCAGAUAUAUUUGGUAUAUUUUAUGGAUAUUUGCUUAGUACAAAAUACAUUAUGUACAUUUACUAUUAAAGUCUUUUAUGCUUUUUUUUACUGAAAUGCACGGUUAAUUGCAAGAAUGUUAUCAAUCAAACGUAUUAUUGUCUGUAGUGUAUAACCGCACGUCAUUGAGACCACUUGUAAUAAUGCGAUAAGAACAUUAAUUGAUUGAAAUGCCAUAUAGAAGUGUAAAUCAGUCAACAUAUAUAUGGAUCCAUAUAUAUAUAUAUAUAUAUAUAUAUAUAUAUAUAUGGAUUGCUGAACAAGAUGAAAUGCAAGCGGCAAAAUGGAUCUUUUUAAAAAAACUGUCCUGCACUAUUGAAAUGUAAUCAGUUAUAUUUCUGUUCUUUUUUAACAUGAAAUAAAUACAUUUUCAAGCAAA
Acipenser ruthenus (sterlet) is the source of this 1468-nucleotide long non-coding RNA. RefSeq lists it as uncharacterized. The transcript has 2 exons. The record is from RefSeq and is a predicted model, not a curated record. Lineage: Eukaryota; Metazoa; Chordata; Actinopteri; Acipenseriformes; Acipenseridae.